Molecule: long non-coding RNA, 887 nt
Organism: Megalops cyprinoides (Indo-Pacific tarpon)
Lineage: Eukaryota; Metazoa; Chordata; Actinopteri; Elopiformes; Megalopidae
Exons: 9
Source: RefSeq, a predicted model, not a curated record
UUGUCUAUCAGCUUGUUAGCUAUGGUUGAUGGAAGAAACGAAAAGCUGACCUCAGGGCAGGAAUCUGCGCAGUCAGAGAAGAUAACCGGUAACCUGAGAGGCUAACCUGCAGGUCCCCAGAAUGCACCCAGAGAAGCCAUAUCGCAUCAGUGAUUGGAUCAAAUCAAGACUUACAGACUACAGGAUAGCAGUACCUUCAGGUGCUGUUCCCUAUGUUGGUGGUUGAUCUGCGUGAAGAUGGACUUCUGUCAUGGUCUAUUCUGCAAGUGUCCAGUAGAGGUCACUCUGAUGCUCCUAUUAUUGCUAUUGCUCCCUGUCUGCUGAAUGGGGUCCCUCGGAAGGCUGCGUGUGUGGCUUGUGUCCUAACACUGGCAUUUCUGCGGCCUGGAUGCUUCGUGAAUCCAUCUCUACAAAGUGUGUGGGUCUCCAGUCGGCAAUCACCCGGGUUACAAGCGCUACCAGGGCUCAAACGAGUGAUCAACAGCUGUUGGAUGGAGGACCUGCAGGUCCGCUCUCCAGAGUGGAACGGCCAGCACGGGUCGGGGGCUCUGCUUGUUUUGAAAGAGCCGGCCGAUUGACAGGAGGGGUUUUGUCACCAAACACCAGCUUGUUUCUUCCUCGUUCACCUGGACGUGAGCCAGGUUCAAGGUUAAAGGAUCCCAGUGUGAACAGAAUGCGAGCACGGUGUGGAUUCUGUGAAGCAGUUGAAGGAGGGGGGCCUGGUUUUGCAUUGCUCUGUAGUCCUCAGGGUCUCUGUCAAAACUUUUGAUAUGUUGAGUUAGGGAUAGCUUUCCACUCUCCUUCCCCCCUCCCCUCAAGUAUUAUGUAAAACUUAGAAAUUGUCCCACAGAAUGUCAUGUUUGGAGCUCAUUUCACUGCUCAAUCUG